This 305-nucleotide ribosomal RNA is filed under the name uncultured bacterium. RNAcentral's name for it is "bacterial SSU rRNA". It matches the Rfam family "Bacterial small subunit ribosomal RNA", at positions 337 to 640 of the family's 1533-position model. The record is from RNAcentral.
UCCUACGGGGGGCAGCAGUGAGGAAUAUUGGUCAAUGGUCGGGAGACUGAACCAGCCUAGCCGCGUGAGGGAUGAGGGUACAGAGUAUCGUAAACCUCUUUUGUCAGGGAACAAAGGCGGGGACGUGUCCCCGGAUGAGUGUACCUGAAGAAAAAGCAUCGGCUAACUCCGUGCCAGCAGCCGCGGUAAUACGGAGGAUGCGAGCGUUAUCCGGAUUUAUUGGGUUUAAAGGGUGCGCAGGCGGUCUGUUAAGUCAGCGGUCAAAGCCCGGGGCUCAACCCCGGCCCGCCGUUGAAACUGGCAGU